UGGGCAGGUCGGAUGGUCGCCCCCUGCUGAUUUGCUUCGGCCUCUUUGGCCAGAAGUAAAUCAAUGCGCUGGGGGAGGAAAGUCCGAGCUCCACAGGGCAGCGUAGCGGGUAACGCCCGUCGCUCGUAAGAGUAGGAUUAGAGCCACAGUGACGAACAAUCCUAAACCGGGGCCUGACGGCCUAAGGUUGGGACGAAGUGAAACGCGGCAAUCUCUACGCGGAGCAAGGCCAAAUAGGCCCCGACUUUAGAACGGCCCGUUCUAUAAAGUCGUCGGGGCGGGUUGGCCGCUUGAGCCCGCGAGUAAUCGCGGGACUAGAUGGAUGACCGUCGCUUCGACAUAUCGUCGGAGGACAAAACUCGGCUUAUAGACCUGCCCAUUUU
RNAcentral lists this RNase P RNA (383 nucleotides) under Candidatus Omnitrophota bacterium. RNAcentral describes it as "RNase P RNA component class A". It matches the Rfam family "Bacterial RNase P class A". Rfam says of the family: Ribonuclease P (RNase P) is a ubiquitous endoribonuclease, found in archaea, bacteria and eukarya as well as chloroplasts and mitochondria. Its best characterised activity is the generation of mature 5'-ends of tRNAs by cleaving the 5'-leader elements of precursor-tRNAs. Cellular RNase Ps are ribonucleoproteins. Lineage: Bacteria; Pseudomonadati; Candidatus Omnitrophota. The record is from RNAcentral.